AAUAGAUACCCCGGUAGUCCACGCCGUAAACGAUGGAUGCUAGCUGUUAGAAGUAUCGACCCUUCUAGUAGCGUAGCUAACGCGUUAAGCAUCCCGCCUGUGGAGUACGGUCGCAAGACUAAAACAUAAAGGAAUUGACGGGGACCCGCACAAGCGGUGGAGCGUGUUGUUUAAUUCGAUGGUAAGCGAAGAACCUUACCCAGGCUUGACAUCCUGCCAAAGACUCUGAAAGGAGACUGUGCCUUCGGGCCGCAGUGACAGGUGAUGCAUGGCCGUCGUCAGCUCGUGUCGUGAGAUGUUUGGUUAAGUCCAUCAACGAGCGCAACCCUUGUAGUUAGUUGUAUUUUUCUAGCUAGACUGCCCUGGUAACAGGGAGGAAGGAGGGGAUGAUGUCAGGUCAGUAUCUCCCUUACGCCUGGGGCUACAAACACGCUACAAUGGCCGGUACAAAGGGCAGCCAACCCGCGAGGGGAGCAAAUCCCAUCAAAGCCGGUCUCAGUUCGGAUUGCAGGCUGAAACUCGCCUGCA
RNAcentral lists this ribosomal RNA (528 nucleotides) under uncultured bacterium. RNAcentral describes it as "bacterial SSU rRNA". It matches the Rfam family "Bacterial small subunit ribosomal RNA", at positions 777 to 1320 of the family's 1533-position model. The record is from RNAcentral.